RNAcentral lists this ribosomal RNA (293 nucleotides) under uncultured bacterium. RNAcentral's name for it is "partial 16S ribosomal RNA". It matches the Rfam family "Bacterial small subunit ribosomal RNA", at positions 505 to 796 of the family's 1533-position model. The record is from RNAcentral.
GUGUCAGCCGCCGCGGUAAGACGAACCGUGCGAACGUUGUUCGGAAUCACUGGGCUUAAAGGGCGCGUAGGCGGCUCGCUUGGUCCGUGGGUGAAAUCGUCCGGCUUAACCGGACAACUGCCCUGGAUACCGGCGGGCUUGAGGGAGGUAGGGGCACGCGGAACUUCCGGUGGAGCGGUGAAAUGCGUUGAUAUCGGAAGGAACGCCGGUGGCGAAAGCGGCGUGCUGGCCCUUCUCUGACGCUGAGGCGCGAAAGCCAGGGGAGCGAACGGGAUUAGAAACCCUAGUAGUCC